CCUACGGGUGGCAGCAGUGGGGAAUAUUGCACAAUGGGGGAAACCCUGAUGCAGCGACGCCGCGUGAGUGAAGCAGUAUUUCGGUAUGUAAAGCUCUAUCAGCAGGGCAGAAGCAAGACGGUACCUGACUAAGAAGCCCCGGCUAACUACGUGACAGCAGCCGCGGUAAUACGUAGGGGGCAAGCGUUAUACGGAUUUACUGGGUGUAACGGGAGCAUAGACGGGAUGGCAAGUCUGAAGUGAAAGCCCAGGGCUGAAACCUGGGAAUGCUUUGGAUACUGUUAGACUCGAGUGCUGGAGAGGUAAGUGGAAUUCCUAGUGUAGCGGUGAAAUGCGUAGAUAUUAGGAGGAACACCAGUGGCGAAGGCGGCUUACUGGACAGUAACUGAUGUUGAGGCUCGAAAGCGUGGGGAGCAAACAGGAUUAGAUACCCCUGUAGUC
This 441-nucleotide ribosomal RNA is filed under the name uncultured bacterium. RNAcentral's name for it is "partial 16S ribosomal RNA". It matches the Rfam family "Bacterial small subunit ribosomal RNA", at positions 338 to 795 of the family's 1533-position model. The record is from RNAcentral.